Long non-coding RNA from Gadus macrocephalus (Pacific cod), 545 nucleotides. RefSeq lists it as uncharacterized. The transcript is spliced from 3 exons. Lineage: Eukaryota; Metazoa; Chordata; Actinopteri; Gadiformes; Gadidae. The record is from RefSeq and is a predicted model, not a curated record.
UUGUUCUGGGCGGCAAAGUUAAAAUAAUCCACACAAAGCAAACUAAAGGAAGUUGAGCUUUUAAUAUGAUCCCUUUUAAUAUGAGCCUUCAUAUCACAUAAAAUAGCAUUUUACAUGUCCCAGAUUCUGACAGGGCUUCAGGAAACGUUUUAACUUGUGGAAUUGCAAGGAUUUGUUAUUGCUCCAGCAGCACAGCUACUUCACUGUAUUUAAAACAUUAUUUUGUCUUUGAGUUUGUUGUUAUGAGUGGCUCCCAGCUGUCCAGAGGGAGGCCCUCGAGCUCAAAAAUAACACCAGUGGACCAGGCACCCCCCCACACACACACAAACCGUGUGCUUCACAACAAGCCUGACAGACAACAAGCCUGAAAGACAGCAAGCCUGACAGACAGAGAGGCUAUGGGAGGCCUUGAAGAUGGACCUGGAAUGGAUGGACCUAGUGACACUGGCGAGGCCGAGUGCAGAAGCGACAUUCAAUCAUUUUGAGAUGGACACAAGCCUUUUGGUCUGCAUGGAGAGUUCAACUGAAGCAAAUCAGUAGCAGCU